Molecule: long non-coding RNA, 397 nt
Filed under: Amborella trichopoda
Lineage: Eukaryota; Viridiplantae; Streptophyta; Magnoliopsida; Amborellales; Amborellaceae
Description: long non-coding RNA (ATRI_LNC002517)
Source: RNAcentral
UGAAUUUGGUUUUUUUUUUUUUAAUGCUUAUUGCUCUUCUACAGUUCUAUUAUAUGAUUUUCUUUAGUCCUUUCCUUAUAUUAAAAAGUAAAAGAGAAAAAGGAAAUAUGGGUUAUGGCUACUUUUUCCAUUUGGUAUGCUUCUCUUUUUUAUUAAUAUAUUUUCACUAUAAUGUUUUUUGAAUUACACCAUUUGUACUAUUAAAACUCGUAAGUUGUAUGUACGGGUUAUAUUUUGAUUGGGGAAAAUUUCGUACAGAAUCCUAAUUCUUCGUAUUAUUUCAUAGUAGGCCUUCUUUCUGUUUUUCUUUCAAGUAGCAUAAAGAAAUCCCUAAGGAUUUCACUGUACCCCAUCAUCUCUUAUCUCCAUCUUUUAUAAAAUUUUGACUACAAAAAUU